Molecule: ribosomal RNA, 426 nt
Filed under: uncultured bacterium
Lineage: Bacteria
Description: bacterial SSU rRNA
Rfam family: Bacterial small subunit ribosomal RNA
Source: RNAcentral
CAGCAGUGGGGAAUCUUGGACAAUGGGGGCAACCCUGAUCCAGCCAUGCCGCGUGAGUGAUGAAGGCCUUAGGGUCGUAAAGCUCUUCGCCUGUGAUGAUAAUGACAGUAGCAGGUAAGAAACCCCGGCUAACUCCGUGCCAGCAGCCGCGGUAAUACGGAGGGGGUUAGCGUUGUUCGGAAUUACUGGGCGUAAAGCGCGCGUAGGCGGAUUAGUCAGUUAGAGGUGAAAUCCCAGGGCUCAACCCUGGAACUGCCUUUAAUACUGCUAGUCUUGAGUUCGAGAGAGGUGAGUGGAAUUCCGAGUGUAGAGGUGAAAAUUCGUAGAUAUUCGGAGGAACACCAGUGGCGAAGGCGGCUCACUGGCUCGAUACUGACGCUGAGGUGCGAAAGUGUGGGGAGCAAACAGGAUUAGAUACCCUGGUAG